Molecule: non-coding RNA, 355 nt
Organism: Pelobates cultripes (western spadefoot toad)
Lineage: Eukaryota; Metazoa; Chordata; Amphibia; Anura; Pelobatidae
Source: the annotation of a GenBank genome assembly
AUACAUACAGGCAUACAAAGACAUGCAUGCAUACAGAGACAUACUGCCAUACAGACACAUACAUAUAUACAGGCAUACAGAAACAUACAUACAAAGACAUACAGGCAUACAUACAGAGACAUACAGGCAUACAGAAACAUACAUACAUACAAGACAUACAGGCAUACAGACACAUACAAACAUUCAUACAUAGAGAGGCAAACCGUCAUACAGACAUACAUACAUAAACAUACAUACAAAGACAUACAGGCAUACAGAGACACACAGACACAUACGUACAUACAGAGACAUAAAGGCAUACAGUUACACACAUGCAUACAGAGACAUAUAUACAGACAUUCAGAGACAAACAAAC